This 743-nucleotide ribosomal RNA is filed under the name Vibrio furnissii. RNAcentral's name for it is "bacterial SSU rRNA". It matches the Rfam family "Bacterial small subunit ribosomal RNA", at positions 307 to 1042 of the family's 1533-position model. The record is from RNAcentral. Lineage: Bacteria; Pseudomonadati; Pseudomonadota; Gammaproteobacteria; Vibrionales; Vibrionaceae.
GCCACACUGGAACUGAGACACGGUCCAGACUCCUACGGGAGGCAGCAGUGGGGAAUAUUGCACAAUGGGCGCAAGCCUGAUGCAGCCAUGCCGCGUGUAUGAAGAAGGCCUUCGGGUUGUAAAGUACUUUCAGCAGUGAGGAAGGGGAUAUCGUUAAUAGCGGUAUUCUUUGACGUUAGCUGCAGAAGAAGCACCGGCUAACUCCGUGCCAGCAGCCGCGGUAAUACGGAGGGUGCGAGCGUUAAUCGGAAUUACUGGGCGUAAAGCGCAUGCAGGUGGUUUGUUAAGUCAGAUGUGAACGCCCGGGGCUCAACCUCGGAAUUGCAUUUGAAACUGGCAGGCUAGAGUACUGUAGAGGGGGGUAGAAUUUCAGGUGUAGCGGUGAAAUGCGUAGAGAUCUGAAGGAAUACCGGUGGCGAAGGCGGCCCCCUGGACAGAUACUGACACUCAGAUGCGAAAGCGUGGGGAGCAAACAGGAUUAGAUACCCUGGUAGUCCACGCCGUAAACGAUGUCUACUUGGAGGUUGUGGCCUUGAGCCGUGGCUUUCGGAGCUAACGCGUUAAGUAGACCGCCUGGGGAGUACGGUCGCAAGAUUAAAACUCAAAUGAAUUGACGGGGGCCCGCACAAGCGGUGGAGCAUGUGGUUUAAUUCGAUGCAACGCGAAGAACCUUACCUACUCUUGACAUCCAGAAAACUUAGCAGAGAUGCUUUGGUGCCUUCGGGAACUCUGAGACAGGUGCU